GCGGAUGUGGCGAAAUUGGCAGACGCGCUAGAUUCAGGUUCUAGUGAACUCAGUUCAUGCAGGUUCAAGUACUGUCAUCCGCACCA
This 86-nucleotide transfer RNA is filed under the name Clostridia bacterium. Its description in RNAcentral is "tRNA-Leu". It matches the Rfam family "tRNA". Rfam says of the family: Transfer RNA (tRNA) molecules are approximately 80 nucleotides in length. Their secondary structure includes four short double-helical elements and three loops (D, anti-codon, and T loops). The record is from RNAcentral. Lineage: Bacteria; Bacillati; Bacillota; Clostridia.